ACGGGAGCAGCAGUGAGGAAUAUUGGUCAAUGGGCGGAAGCCUGAACCAGCCAAGUCGCGUGAAGGAUGAAGGUAUUAUGUAUUGUAAACUUCUUUAGCAGUGGAGUAAUAAGGGGGAUGCAUCCCCUGAUGCAAGUACACUGAGAAUAAGGAUCGGCUAACUCCGUGCCAGCAGCCGCGGUAAUACGGAGGAUCCGAGCGUUAUCCGGAUUUAUUGGGUUUAAAGGGUGCGCAGGCGGCCAUUUAAGUCAGCGGUCAAAUCGUGAGGCUCAACCUCAUCCCGCCGUUGAUACUGGAUGGCUUGAUUGCGGUCGAGGUAGGCGGAAUUCGUCGUGUAGCGGUGAAAUGCAUAGAUAUGACGAAGAACACCGAUUGCGUAGGCAGCUUACCAGGCCGUAAAUGACGCUCAUGCACGAAAGUGCGGGGAUCGAACAGGAUUAGAUACCCUGGUA
RNAcentral lists this ribosomal RNA (452 nucleotides) under uncultured Porphyromonadaceae bacterium. RNAcentral describes it as "partial 16S ribosomal RNA". It matches the Rfam family "Bacterial small subunit ribosomal RNA", at positions 341 to 792 of the family's 1533-position model. Lineage: Bacteria; Pseudomonadati; Bacteroidota; Bacteroidia; Bacteroidales; Porphyromonadaceae. The record is from RNAcentral.